UUUGCACACAUAACCCAAAGUUCAUUAUUUGCCUGUGUAAUGAUCUUGUCUGAUGUGCAUACAUUAUCAGUAUCUUGUCGCCUUUCAAGAGCUCACAUGCUUUUGAAAGUGAAUAUGAAGAUACUACACAU
Non-coding RNA from Pelobates cultripes (western spadefoot toad), 131 nucleotides. NCBI's taxonomy places the organism in Eukaryota, Metazoa, Chordata, Amphibia, Anura, Pelobatidae. The record is from the annotation of a GenBank genome assembly.